RNAcentral lists this long non-coding RNA (1419 nucleotides) under Prunus persica (peach). Its description in RNAcentral is "long non-coding RNA (PPER_LNC008717)". Lineage: Eukaryota; Viridiplantae; Streptophyta; Magnoliopsida; Rosales; Rosaceae. The record is from RNAcentral.
GUUCGUACGAAGUUCGUUAUGAAAUGGGGUGGUUGGUGUAUUGUAUAGUUCUAGGGAUUGUAUUUCCCUCAAAACCCACCAAAUGACUCCUCCCACAAUAUUAUGAUGUUCCCCAAGUUUUGGACUCAAUCCGAUAUCGAUUGGUCCUUGAAAUCGGACAAUUCAGGUUCGUACGAAGUUCGUUCUGAAAUGGGGUGGUUGGUGUAUUGAAUAGUUCUAGAGAUUGGAUUUCACUCAAAACCAACCACAUGACUCCUGCCACAAUAUUAUGAUGUUCACCAAGUUUUGGUCUCAAUCCGAUAUCGAUUGGUGCUUGAAAUCGGACAAUUCAGGUUCGUAUGAAGUUCGUUCGUAAAUACGGUGGUUGGUGUGUUGCAUAGUUCUAGAGAUAGGAUUUCACUCAAAACCCACCAAAUGUCUCCUCCCACAAUAUUAUUACGUUCUCCAAGUUUUGGACUCAAUCCGAUAUCGAUUCGUCCUUGAAAUCGAACAAUUCAGGUUCCUACGAAGUUCGUUCUGAAAUGGGGUGGUUGGUGUAUUGUAUAGUUCUAGGGAUUGUAUUUCACUCAAAACAUACCAAAUGACUCCUCCCACAAUAUUAUGAUGUUCCCCAAGUUUUGGACUCAAUCCUUUCUCGAUUUGUCAAUGAAAUCGGACAAUUCAGGUUCGUACGAAGUUCGUUCUGAAAUGGGGUGGUUGGUUUAUUGUAUCGUUCUAUAGAUUGGAUUUCACUCAAAACCCACCAAAUGACUCCUCCCAAAAUAUUAUGAUGUUCCCCAAGUUUUGGACUCAAUCCGAUAUCGAUUGGUCCUUGAAAUCGGACAAUUCAGGUUCGUACGAAGUUCGUUCUGAAAUGGGGUGGUUUGUGUAUUGUAUAGUUCUAGAGAUUGGAUUUCACUCAAAACCCACAAAAUGACUCCUCCCACAAUAUUAUGAUGUUCCCCUAGUUUUGGACAAAAUCCGAUAUCGAUUGGUCCUUGAAAUCGGAUAAUUCAGGUUCGUACGAAGUUCGUUCGUAAAUAGGGUGGUUGGUGUGUUGCAUAGUUCUAGAGAUAGGAUUUCACUCAAAACCCACCAAAUGACUCCUCCCACAAUAUUAUGAUGUUCCCCAAGUUUUGGACUCAAUCCGAUAUCGAUUGGUGCUCGAAAUCGGACAGUUCAAGUUCGUAUGAAGUUCGUUCUGAAAUGGGGCGGUUGGUGUAUUGUAUUCUAGAGAUUGGAUUUCCCUCAAAACCCACCAAAUGACUCCUCCCACAAUAUUAUUAUGUUCCCCAAGUUUUGGACUCAAUCCGAUAUCGAUUGGUCCUUGAAAUCGGACAAUUCAGGUUCGUACGAAGUUCCUUCUGAAAUGGGGUGGUUGGUGUAUUGAAUAGUUCUAGAGAUUGGAUUUCACUAAAAACCCACCAAAUGACUCCUCCC